Molecule: transfer RNA, 54 nt
Filed under: Oncicola luehei
Lineage: Eukaryota; Metazoa; Acanthocephala; Archiacanthocephala; Oligacanthorhynchida; Oligacanthorhynchidae
Description: tRNA-Cys
Source: RNAcentral
AAGCUCUUAGUUGAAUUACAAUAGAAAAUUGCAAGUUUUCAGGUCUAGGGUUUU